GGGGAUAUGGCGGAAUUGGUACACGCUACGGACUUGAUUAAAUUGAGCUUUAGUAGGAAAUCCUACUAAAUGAUAGCUUUCCAAUACAGGGAAACCCGAGAUAGUUCGAAUGGGCAAUCCUGAGCCAAAUCCAAGUCAGAGGAUUCUCUGACUAAAAAAGGUAGAUAGGUGCAGAGACUCGAUGGAAGUUAUUCUAACUAUGAAUAUCAUUCAAAUCAACUGGAUUUCAUUUUCUAGAGAGAAAAGAAAUCCGUUAUAGAGCGAAUAAAGAGAGAGCCCAUUUCUACAUGUUCUUUUCAGCACCAAUGAAAUUUGGAGUAGUCAGAAAAUCCGUUGGUCUACGAGACCUUGAGGGUUCAAGUCCCUCUAUCCCCA
Molecule: transfer RNA, 375 nt
Filed under: Ephedra przewalskii
Lineage: Eukaryota; Viridiplantae; Streptophyta; Gnetopsida; Ephedrales; Ephedraceae
Description: tRNA-Leu
Rfam family: Group I catalytic intron (bases 26-300)
About the family: Group I catalytic introns are large self-splicing ribozymes. They catalyse their own excision from mRNA, tRNA and rRNA precursors in a wide range of organisms.
Source: RNAcentral